GCCUCCCGCUAGAGCCGCCUCUCCCCGGGGCGCUUCAGGAGUUUGCUGGCAGCCGGAGCCCCCAGAAGGCCAGAAGCCCUGUGCCGGGCCAGCAGGGCUGCGGAGCUUGUGGCCCUCAGGGGCUGGGGACGAACCUCACUGCCUUUCUUGCCCUUGCCCUUUCCACGGAGGGCGGGAGGCUCAGGAAGGGAGAGGCUGGGUGCCUACUGGCGGCAGUCCUGGGAGGAAGGAAGAAGCCAGGCUGGCUCUGAGCCGUGGAAGAUGGGAUACCUGGGGUUUGACUCAGUUCUGAUUCUCCUGGCUCAGAGACCUUCACCAGAUCACUCCUCUUCUCCGAGCUUUGGUUUUUCAGAAGUAAAACAGGAGGCUCCUGGGAACCUGAGGCUCACCCUGAAGAGGAAGCCACUUUCCAGCCGUCAGCAAUGUCUGGAUCCCUCCUUCCGGCAUCUGACAGGGCAAGGCCUUCAUUCAGCAGAAUCUGAGCACUUUACUAUGCACCUAGCCCAGUGAUGAGAAAGAUGGGAUGGAGGCGCACCUGGGUGGUGGUCGGUUAAGCGCACGACUCUUGGUUUCUGAGUGCCUCCUCUGGGCCAGUCACUGUUCUAACUGCUGGGGAUCCCUGCCUCAGGAAGCUGCCGGUGGUCCUGGAGGGGUGGCUCUGUCUCCAAAUUAGAGUUGCAACGGGCUUAAUCAGUGGCCCCGUCCCUGCUGGGCCCCAGCACAGGCAUGUGUCUUCAGCUGGAAGGCCUAAGGAAUCAUCAAGUUCAAAACCAGUGUCCUGACCUUACAUGCAGGGAGACCAAGGUUCGGUGAAGGAAGGAGCACACUCCUGACCCUUGACUUCCCUGGCUCCACUGCAGGCUACCAUCCUUCUAAAUCUUCAGUUUGCUGAAGCAGAGGACGCGUCAUGACAGGACGUGGCCAAGGUUCCCAGCCCACCUGCCACCUGAACCCAGCGCAGAGAGUGGAUGGAUGGAUGUGGACCUGGAAACCCCUACACUGGACAGCUUCUCUAAGACCUUGAGGGAGGGGACCCCCUAGCUCCAGGCUGAUGCAGCAGAUGUCUCAGUCCCUGUGUCCCUGGCACUGCUUUCUGCUUAUUAAAUGCCCGAAACCAGGGUUGGCUGGAAGCCGUCUCAGCAGGGGGAGCGCUCAGCCUUGGGCCCCACUGUCCAGCCCUAGAGUCUUCACUGGCAAAAUGGGUGCAGCCCUAACAGUUCUAACCUCCCGGGGCUGGGAGAAGAGCAGGCCUGCCCUGCAGUUAUCUCCCUGCUCUGGGCAGAAACGCCGAGUGAAAAAGAUGGGCCGAGGCUCCCGGAGCGGCCGGUGCAGGAGAGAAGCCACGGAUGCAAGGGCAGGAUGUUCAGAGCCUGAGAAAUCCCAAAGCAACUGCCACUCUUGGUCCUUGGGCUUCCAGUAGCUCCUUCCCCUCACCCACUCCUGGGGAGGGCCCCUGGCAGAUGAACCUUCAGCGUGGCAUAGGCAUCCGCACGUGGAGGCUGUGGCCGUGGGGACGGUUUGACGGCCAGAGAUGCCAACGAGCAGAUGUGUAGGUGCCUGGAGGGG
Molecule: long non-coding RNA, 1566 nt
Organism: Canis lupus familiaris (dog)
Lineage: Eukaryota; Metazoa; Chordata; Mammalia; Carnivora; Canidae
Exons: 8
Source: RefSeq, a predicted model, not a curated record